UAUAAGCUUAUACAAUACAUUAUGAGUUUAUCCAUUGUUUGGUAAUGACAUUGUAUUGUAUAAGCUUAUCCA
RNAcentral lists this microRNA precursor (72 nucleotides) under Lotus japonicus. RNAcentral describes it as "miR11135a stem-loop (lja-MIR11135a)". Lineage: Eukaryota; Viridiplantae; Streptophyta; Magnoliopsida; Fabales; Fabaceae. The record is from miRBase by way of RNAcentral.